RNAcentral lists this ribosomal RNA (523 nucleotides) under uncultured Actinomycetaceae bacterium. RNAcentral describes it as "bacterial SSU rRNA". It matches the Rfam family "Bacterial small subunit ribosomal RNA", at positions 870 to 1398 of the family's 1533-position model. The record is from RNAcentral. Lineage: Bacteria; Bacillati; Actinomycetota; Actinomycetes; Actinomycetales; Actinomycetaceae.
CGCCUGGGGAGUGCGGCCGCAAGGCUAAAACUCAAAGGAAUUGACGGGGGCCCGCACAAGCGGCGGAGCAUGCGGAUUAAUUCGAUGCAACGCGAAGAACCUUACCAAGGCUUGACAUAACUGCGAUGUUCCAGAGAUGGGGCAGCCUUCGGGGUGGUGUACAGGUGGUGCAUGGUUGUCGUCAGCUCGUGUCGUGAGAUGUUGGGUUAAGUCCCGCAACGAGCGCAACCCUUGUCUCGUGUUGCCAGCAUUUGGUUGGGGACUCACGAGAGACUGCCGGGGUUAACUCGGAGGAAGGUGGGGAUGACGUCAAAUCAUCAUGCCCCUUAUGUCUUGGGCUUCACGCAUGCUACAAUGGCCGGUACAGAGGGUUGCGAUGUCGUGAGGCGGAGCGAAUCCCUUAAAGCCGGUCUCAGUUCGGAUUGGGGUCUGCAACUCGACCCCAUGAAGUCGGAGUCGCUAGUAGUCGCAGAUCAGAACGCUGCGGUGAAUACGUUCCCGGGCCUUGAACACACCGCCCGUC